RNAcentral lists this ribosomal RNA (429 nucleotides) under Bacteroidota bacterium. RNAcentral's name for it is "Bacteroidetes bacterium partial 16S ribosomal RNA". It matches the Rfam family "Bacterial small subunit ribosomal RNA", at positions 355 to 776 of the family's 1533-position model. Lineage: Bacteria; Pseudomonadati; Bacteroidota. The record is from RNAcentral.
UAGGGAAUCUUCCGCAAUGGACGCAAGUCUGACGGAGCAACGCCGCGUGAGUGAAGAAGGAUUUCGGUUCGUAAAACUCUGUUGUUAGAGAAGAACAGCGCAUAGAGUAACUGUUAUGCGUGUGACGGUAUCUAACCAGAAAGCCACGGCUAACUACGUGCCAGCAGCCGCGGUAAUACGUAGGUGGCAAGCGUUGUCCGGAUUUAUUGGGCGUAAAGCGAGCGCAGGCGGUCAAUUAAGUCUGAUGUGAAAGCCCCCGGCUCAACCGGGGAGGGUCAUUGGAAACUGGUUGACUUGAGUGCAGAAGAGGAGAGCGGAAUUCCAUGUGUAGCGGUGAAAUGCGUAGAUAUAUGGAGGAACACCAGUGGCGAAGGCGACUCUCUGGUCUGUAACUGACGCUGAGGUUCGAAAGCGUGGGUAGCAAACAGG